Long non-coding RNA from Urocitellus parryii (Arctic ground squirrel), 1606 nucleotides. The record is from Ensembl. Lineage: Eukaryota; Metazoa; Chordata; Mammalia; Rodentia; Sciuridae.
AUGAAACACAGAACAGGGCUGGGGACGGGGCUCAGGGCCCGAGGGUCCCGGGGUUCAAUCCCUGGCACCAAAAAACACACAAAAAAGGACAGAGCCGUGUCCCUUGGAGUGGGCGGAGCCAGAGGAACCCAGAACCAGAGGAGGGGGAUGGGCCCAGCCUGCAGUGGCCGCCACCAUGGCCCCUGGAGGAGCAGGAGGGAGACCACGCGGCUGAGGCGGAGCAGGAGGGGGCCCGGGAGGCUCAGAAAGUUCCUGAGAGGACUCCGACCCCACCAGGAGCCAGGGUUGGAAAGACGAAUCCGCUCGGCUGCGCCAGGCUCUGCAGGGGCUAAAUUUAAAACUGCAGGGUGGACGCGGGACAGCGAGCGAGGACACCAGAGGACCACGCUGGGCAGGAGCUUCGGACAACUCCCAGGCCCUCGGAGACACCCGCAGGCACAGCAGGGCCCCGGAGCCAGGCCUGCGGGCCACAGGGGAGCUCACGUCCAGCCACAGGCCUGGCCAGCCUGGUCACUGUGUGCUCUCCAGUCCCCGCCGGGGCCACUGCUCCGGACUCUAGGCUGGAAGGAGGUCACAGCGGGACCCCCCAGGUGGCCCCAAUACUGAGAAUUCCUGCAGAAAGACACAGGUGCCCUCCCCACGGACCCUCGGUGCAGAUUGUGAACCACGUUGACGAGCGACCCCAGGAGAUGCUCAGAGCAGGCUCAUCCCGGAUUGGAAGAUGACCCGGGGUCCCCUGGGCCUGAAACGUUCCUGCUACCUGCACACCUCACCUGCACACAAGGCAGGGACAUGAAAUAUAAAUGACUCGUGUGAGCCUGCAUGAUUCAGCACACACACACGCGCACACACACACGGCAACCAAACAUUUAAGAACAAGAGAAAGAAAGAUGCCAGGGUUUGUAGACCACAGGGCCUUUGCAUCACAUUCACUCAUCCAGGAAACUUGAGGAAGAGAGAAAUUUAGGGGAAUCGUGAGAAGGAGGGGUCAGAGAGUUCCAGAAGUGGGGYGGGGUGAGGGGUUGAAGGGUCACAGAAUCAGAAAUAAGGUGUGGAACAUUUCUGUCCUCCCCCACCUCCAAGGCCCCCCCACUUCUUACCCAGCAAGCCCCAGCCCCACCCUGUCUAAACCAGGGAUCUUGGUUUGUCAGGGCCAAGGUGGGCAGAGUGGGCCCCUGGCUUUGUGGGGUGCCCUCCCCCACUAACACCCACAGGCCCCGGCUCCUGGGGGCUCAGGGCCACCCGGGGGAGGGGGAGAGGCUGAGCCUGGGUCUGGGCCUCACGGCUCCUCUGGGCAGUGGCUGAGGUCUGUGGUCUAGCGGCACUCAGGGCUCCCGCUCGUGGAUGCCACCAAGAUCGCCAUCCUCCGCCGCCAUUGUCACUGUGCGGGUUGGCCAUCGUCACCCUGUGCUAGGACAGUGGACGGAGAGGAACGAGGAACCGGCCCUUGGAGGUAGAGCCCCACCCCUUGGGGAAACUGAGGCCCAGAGAGGACAGGGCCAGGUGGACACCGGCUGGCCAAGGACAGUGAGCCAGGCAGUGCCAUCUGCUUGCCCUACCGUCAUUGUCACCCACCAGAAUUAGCCAGGAGCAGGGACCAAGGAGU